Molecule: small RNA, 365 nt
Filed under: Histoplasma capsulatum var. duboisii H88
Lineage: Eukaryota; Fungi; Ascomycota; Eurotiomycetes; Onygenales; Ajellomycetaceae
Description: Histoplasma capsulatum H88 hypothetical RNA
Source: RNAcentral
AAGCCCCGGUGGCCGAAUGGGUAAUGCGGCCACCUGGUAGCGCCUUGGCGUGGGGACCCAAGGCGCGUGGCUCCUUAAAUAAAGGAAUGUGAACUUGCCAAGUAGGUACCUUCGGGCGGACCUACUACCUGAUUUAGCUGAUUUUUCCUGGGCUGGGAACCUGUAUUGCAUGUACAGAUCCGUACCAAAUCCUGUCUUUCAUUAAUUUUCCUAUGUUCCUGUUAUGUCUUGGCGUCGUUCAACACUAAGCAUUCCUCCUGUAAAACCAACUCUUGCCUGUAUUUAACAUCACACAAGGACUCGUCAUAAGCACCGCUUGCAUACGAGUAUAAUGGAAGAAUAAUAAUAAUAAUAAAAAAAGAAAG